Molecule: long non-coding RNA, 2642 nt
Organism: Sapajus apella (tufted capuchin)
Lineage: Eukaryota; Metazoa; Chordata; Mammalia; Primates; Cebidae
Exons: 2
Source: RefSeq, a predicted model, not a curated record
CCCACCCCCACCAGUGGCUCUAGUACAUGGUUUCCUUGUGCCAAAGGAGUAUACCUCCAGGGAGAGAGCACCAGGCAGAAUCUUAUCUUUUGUGAACUAGCCUUGAAAACCACACAGAAUCACUCUGCUACCUUUGCAAAAUGAGAAGCAAAUUGCUAAGGCCAGCCCGAUAUUUAAACGGAGGGCAACUAGACUCCACCUCUUGAUGGGAAGUGUUUCCAAGAAUUUUCAGACAUGUGCUAAAAUCAUCAUACCUCUGCAUUGAACGAUACAGAGGCCCCAUCCUAAUAUGUGUGUGCUUGCUAAUCAGGAAGAGUUUGGUAGAAAAUCCCAGACUGAGAUACUCUUGGAAUUCUGGGAGUUAAGUCUCCUGAUUUUAACAUUACCUGCAACUGAAUGUUAUCCCCUGUAAUCACUUGGGAAACCUUUGCCUACCCUAUUGCUUUUGAAUCCUGAGGUGAUAACUGCCCAGAGUCCCAUUUGCCUCACAGGAAACCACGUGUUAUAUAGAGGAGUGACGCUCUAUGCCUCUCAUUAGCUUCCUGCUUCCCAAAGCCAGGCAGCCACUGUCCCAAAGGAAAAAUAAUCUGCAUCAAGUAGCUAAGAAGAACCCUUUCCAUCUCUAGUCUCACUAAGGCUUGCUAAUGCUUGGAUUUGACUUAACCUAGGUAAGUAGCAUUUUAAUGCUAAUUUGUAAAAACGCUGCUGUGCCAAAGAAUUAAAUAAGCAGUCAUAUAGCUUUAAAUGUUUCACAAGAAACUAAAAUAAAACCUUUUGGGACAGGCAAUCAAGUUUUCCACCCCACCUCAUCCAAGGCAAAAAGAACUCCCUGGUCUACAAGGUUUUGAUUGUGUAGAAUGUAAGUUUCGGCCAUAGUUGGGAUAGUAUACAGUCAAUUUUCUAAAUGUAAAGAAAUGCUUGGGGGACAGGGAUUUUCAUUUACAGGCUAACAAAUGAAAAUGUGUAUGUGGGUGUGAGAGCCGGCACAGGAAAGUGAGAUAUUCCACCCUUGAAAAUGAUGGGAGUCCCCUUUUCUGUAUUUAGACUACAUCUCUGCCGUUCAUGAAAAUCCAUGUCUUGUUCUUUUCCCCUUUAAACCCUUCUCUCUCUGACCUUCCUUUCCCCCGGCUUUAUUUAUUUAUUUUUAAAAAUAAUUGAGUCACAUGUGAUUCAUUUCUAAAGCUUAAGACUUAUGCUCAAACACAAAUCCCAUUGUUCACUUCCUUAGGGAGAGUGAGUUACUCCAGAGGAAAAAAGUAGAGAUUUUGUAUAUGUUUUUGAUUCUGUGAAUUUAUAUUAUAAUAAAUUGUGUAGAAAAUGUGACAGACCUUUGAGUAAUCCAAAAGCACGGUAUUUUGGACCAGAAAGGAAAUGAUUGAAAUACACAAAGCUUUGGAGGGACCUGGGAGGAGAGAUUUACAUUCAAACUUUUUGCCUAAUGUCCUUGUCUUUUUGAAUGCUGAUAGUGCAUCUGUUGUUCCAGGGGACUCCUGCAACGCCACCUUAUUCGCUUUCUCUUUCCCAUUGUUAAGGAGUGUUGUUUGGAGCCUAUGUGAUUUUAACAGAGACUCAGCUAAGAUCUACCACAGAGCCCCAGGUUUGAAAUCUAAAGACAGCUGUGCCCUCCCAAGGACUCCAGCUUGUGAGAACCGGACACCAUCCUUUAACCCAAUGCUCCUUGGCCAUUGCUGCAUGUUGGGUAACCAGAAGCCCAACUCAGUACCCAGCAUCAAGAAGAGUAGGACCGAGAUGGGCAAAAGAUUCAGGGACUAAACCUGUGUGGAACCUUUUCUGCCUUUUCUAUGACAAGAUAUGUUCCUUUUAAAGAAACAAAAAUCUGCAAAUAAAUGCAAAGGCGGGGAAUGACUGUAGCUUUCAUAUUCUCUGAUGAGAAGGAGGCUUGCGGCCUCUGAAUCACUGACCAAAGGCAACAACAGAUCACCAUGAGGUCUCAGAAAAACACUGGAAAACACAACUAGUUCUUCAUAAAGCAUACAAUAGCAAUUACCAUAUUUUAGCAUAUGGAUCCGCACUGAAUUGUUUCACAGUUAUAAUUAGGUUGUUAAUGCAGUGCAGAAUUGGGCCAUAUACUAAUUUGGUAUAUACUUUCUCUAAUCUGAUGGAAAUGCAACGUUUAGAGGGCUUGGCUUUUCUUUUUUGUCAGAAACAAUUAAAAAGGUAUUUUUCAACUUAAGAACUUUAAUAUCACAUAUCACAUUUUUCUUUUUUUAAUUGUGUUGGGAUUGGGGCGGGAUGUGAGAGAGAGAGAGACAGAGAAGGAGAGAGAUUUCACCCAAAUUAUAGCUCAAGCCAUACACUUUUGUGUCUGAUUUGUUUCCAGCAAUCAUUUAUGAUUCUUUUCUUUCUUGUUUGCUUUUCCCUCCUUUUCUUUUUUGCCUUUGGUGAACUGAAACUGAAUUUUUUUUCUCCAGGACAAUUCUCGGUUCCAGUCAUAGUAAAUGCCAAUUUCAUUUCCAUCUUAUUAUUUUUCUAAUUAAACAUUUGUCAUGCAGGAGAAGAUCUGAGGUGCCUGUGCUUUCCAUUAUGUAAAAUAUUCAGUUAUGAUAAUAGGUCUGGAAUGCUAUUUUGAAGGUGUUAUGGAAAGAAAUCAGGGACAAUAAAAUAAAAUCAACUGUAUUUUA